This 479-nucleotide ribosomal RNA is filed under the name uncultured bacterium. RNAcentral's name for it is "partial 16S ribosomal RNA". It matches the Rfam family "Bacterial small subunit ribosomal RNA", at positions 28 to 507 of the family's 1533-position model. The record is from RNAcentral.
GAUGAACGCUAGCGGGAGGCCUAACACAUGCCAGCCGAGCGGUAGAGUUCCUUCGGGAACUUGAGAGCGGCGUACGGGUGCGUAACACGUGUGCAACCUACCUUUAUCUGGGGGAUAGCCUUUCGAAAGGAAGAUUAAUACCCCAUAAUAUAAUGAUUGGCAUCAAUUAUUAUUGAAAACUCCGGUGGAUAGAGAUGGGCACGCGCAAGAUUAGAUAGUUGGUGAGGUAACGGCUCACCAAGUCAAUGAUCUUUAGGGGUCCUGAGAGGGAGAUCCCCCACACUGGUACUGAGACACGGACCAGACUCCUACGGGAGGCAGCAGUGAGGAAUAUUGGACGAUGGGUGAAAGCCUGAUCCAGCCAUCCCGCGUGAAGGAUGACGGUCCUAUGGAUUGUAAACUUCUUUUGUACAGGGAUAAACCUACUCUCGUGAGGGUAGCUGAAGGUACUGUACGAAUAAGCACCGGCUAACUCCGUG